AGGACACGCUGGCGGCGUGCCUAAUACAUGCAAGUCGAACGGUCUUUUCUAUGGAAGCUUGCUUCCACUGAGAAGAUAGUGGCGAACGGGUGAGUAACACGUGGGUAACCUGCCCAUAAGAGGGGGAUAACAUCCGGAAACGGGUGCUAAUACCGCAUAGUUUUCUUGAUCGCAUGAUCGGGAAAGGAAAGACGGCCUUUGUGCUGUCGCUUAUGGAUGGACCCGCGGCGUAUUAGUUAGUUGGUGAGGUAACGGCUCACCAAGACGAUGAUACGUAGCCGACCUGAGAGGGUGAUCGGCCACAUUGGGACUGAGACACGGCCCAAACUCCUACGGGAGGCAGCAGUAGGGAAUCUUCCGCAAUGGACGAAAGUCUGACGGAGCAACGCCGCGUGAGUGAAGAAAAGGUUUUCGGAUCGUAAAACUCUGUUGUCAGAGAAGAACAAGUUGGAGAGUAACUGCUCCAGCCUUGACGGUAUCUGACCAGAAAGCCACGGCUAACUACGUGCCAGCAGCCGC
This 519-nucleotide ribosomal RNA is filed under the name uncultured bacterium. RNAcentral describes it as "bacterial SSU rRNA". It matches the Rfam family "Bacterial small subunit ribosomal RNA", at positions 33 to 518 of the family's 1533-position model. The record is from RNAcentral.